RNAcentral lists this ribosomal RNA (483 nucleotides) under uncultured bacterium. Its description in RNAcentral is "partial 16S ribosomal RNA". It matches the Rfam family "Bacterial small subunit ribosomal RNA", at positions 28 to 507 of the family's 1533-position model. The record is from RNAcentral.
GACGAACGCUGGCGGCGUGCUUAACACAUGCAAGUCGAACGCUGAAGCUCAGCUUUUGUUGGGUGGAUGAGUGGCGAACGGGUGAGUAACACGUGAGUAACCUGCCCCCUUCUUUGGGAUAACGCCCGGAAACGGGUGCUAAUACUGGAUAUUCACUGGUCUUCGCAUGGGGGUUGGUGGAAAGGGUUUUUCUGGUGGGGGAUGGGCUCGCGGCCUAUCAGCUUGUUGGUGGGGUGAUGGCCUACCAAGGCUUUGACGGGUAGCCGGCCUGAGAGGGUGACCGGUCACAUUGGGACUGAGAUACGGCCCAGACUCCUACGGGAGGCAGCAGUGGGGAAUAUUGCACAAUGGGCGCAAGCCUGAUGCAGCGACGCCGCGUGAGGGAUGGAGGCCUUCGGGUUGUGAACCUCUUUCGCUCAUGGUCAAGCCGCAACAAUGGUUGUGGUGAGGGUAGUGGGUAAAGGAGCGCCGGCUAACUACGUG